Salvia splendens (bonfire salvia) is the source of this 2425-nucleotide long non-coding RNA. RefSeq lists it as uncharacterized. The transcript has 3 exons. The record is from RefSeq and is a predicted model, not a curated record. NCBI's taxonomy places the organism in Eukaryota, Viridiplantae, Streptophyta, Magnoliopsida, Lamiales, Lamiaceae.
UUCAUUUAAUAUUCGACGUGGUAGAAUCGCGAUUUUUUGGGUGUUUAUAACCCGACAUUGAUCUGCGUGCCGGAUUAACACCCCCUUUCCCCAAAUUGCCCAUUCUCAUUAUUGCAAUUCGAAAUUGGUCAAGCAGCUCAAGGUGCGAAACCUCUUCCACACACGGGAAGAAAGUGGUUGUCCUCUUCACCCGGCGCCGGAAGUUUAUGCACAAGGGCUCGAUUUAGCCUGCGCAAGCACAAAGUUAAAGCCGCCUCUCAAGGAUCUCGCUUAGCAGAAGAUAUUGGUUGUCCUUAGUACUCGUCGGCGGAAUUUCAUUAGAAGAGAAUCGAUUUAGAUCGCUGAAGGUAAUGUCGUCCUUUUGCAACCAUAUUAUGCAAAUCUGCAGACGUUUUAGUUUGAUUUUUAUGAGUAAUCGUUUGGAUCUAGUUUUUAAAAAGUAUCAGGUGCUUCUAUGUGUCUCCUUUUAGUGUGAAUCCCUUUUUAUUUUGCGCAUAGUACUUUUGAUUUCUGUUGAUGAGCUUUUCAAUUAGUCUAUGUGCUCUCUCGGUACAAAUGUGUCGAAUACUCCAUGGGCUUUUCUGCAGAGUUUGUUGUAAUGGGUAGACAAUUAAAUUGGUAAUUUCUUGUUUGUGACCAUCAAUAUGAUUAUAGCUGUUCAGAUCUACUAUACAUGUGGUGUGACGAUAAUUUCUUUGGUUAUUCCAAUGUCUUAUUCUGAAACUUUUGUUGGUGUAGUGGUCUGAUCCUGCUGCUACUAUUACCAUCUGUGGUAAUGGCUCGUCCGUUUCGUUUUUCCAAAGUCGUGUACCUCAUGGUAGAAGAGAUAAUGCAUCUCUUACAUAUGCACACACUUAUCCUGUUGCACGUAUAUCUGAAAAGAAUUGCAUGUUGCGGUCCGCGUAAUAGGCAGAAUCUAAUUAGGUAUUCACAUAAAGAUACGAUGCCCCAACAAGUAAGACAUAUGAAUAGACUCACAAAAAUUAGUGACAUAGAUUGUUUCGUGAACUUACGCAUGGAUAGGAAUGCAUUUGGUCUUUUAUGUAUCCUGUUAAGAGACGUUGGUGGGCUGCGAGAUGGAAGAUAUGUAUUACUAGAGGAACAAGUAGCUAUUUUUCUAAGUAUCCUAGCUCACCACAAGAAAAUUCGUCCUUCUGGUUUUGAUUUUAAGCGGUCCGGGGAAACAAUAUCGCAUUACGUCCAUCUUGUGCUGAAGGCAGUUCUUAGACCUCAUACCAUUCUCUUGCCACAACCUGAUCCUGUAACGAACACUUGUGUUUAUCAUCGGUGGAAACAUUUUAAGGUAAUGAACUCUGUGACCCAAUACACAUAACAUUUUAAGGUAAUGAACACACCAUUGUCUUUGAUACUUGUCAUUUUUUUCAAAAUUGAUUAUUCUUUCUUUAUAAGUACAUCACCAUCCUGACCGAUUGUGGUAUUUUUAGGAAAUUACUUUCUAUGCGAUAAUGGAUACGCAAAUUGUGAAGGAUUCCUAACGCCGUUCAAAAAUGUUCGUUACCAUUUGAAGGAAUGGGGCGUCGGUACCCAAAGACCCCAAAAUGCUCGUAAAUUGUUUAACUUAAGGCAUAGUAAAGCUCGUAACAUUAUCAGCGAGCUUUUGCAGUUCUUAAAAUGAGAUGGGGCAUUCUGCGAAGUGCUAGUUUCUAUCCGAUCAAGAUCCAAAUUCGGAUGAUAAUGGCUUUCUUCUUACUCCACAAUUUUAUUCGUGAUGAGAUGACGAACGACCCAAUAGAACAGGAAAUUGCAGGUGACAUACAGAUUGGCGUUGUAGAUGAUGUUGAUGGUGAAAUUGAAUAUGUUGAUCAAGUAGAGACAACAAAUGUUUGGACUCAAAUGAGGGAAGAUUUGGCUAACUCAAUGUGGAACAAUCCUCCUAAUGUCGAUGACAAUAACCGACAGUGACAUGAUACCCGAGUGUGUUUGUGGUCGAGGCAAGAUGAAGUUGUUACGUGCUGGGAAAGAUGCCAAACACUGCGGUAGGUGGUUUUACAAGUGUCUGACUGAUGCAAACCACUCGGGGUCUUUCUUGUGGUGUGACGACUAUCAUAGUAGGAUUGGUGAUGACACGCAACCCGACUACGUCUUGAACCAAACGUACCGCCCUACAAAGACAGUGCGCAACACCGAUGAUGAGAAGAAUAAAAGGAGAGCUAGCAGUGGACACGUUUGUGGAGUUUGUGGCCGAUGCCAAGCUGAAAUUAGAAUGGACUUUGUGUUGGUUUUCAUGGGUUUGGUAUUGUUAUUGUUGGGGGUUGUUUUAGGGAAACUAUUCUAGUUUUCACUUGGACUUAUAUUUAAAUUUGAAUUGUAGGAUGCCCUCACUGCAUAAACAUAUUGACGGUGGUUUUUGUAUUUAACCUAUUUAACUAUUUUGCAAGACAUAUCAAUGUUGUGGUGUUGUUUA